RNAcentral lists this ribosomal RNA (253 nucleotides) under uncultured bacterium. Its description in RNAcentral is "partial 16S ribosomal RNA". It matches the Rfam family "Bacterial small subunit ribosomal RNA", at positions 524 to 776 of the family's 1533-position model. The record is from RNAcentral.
UACGUAGGGGGCAAGCGUUGUCCGGAUUUAUUGGGCGUAAAGAGCGUGUAGGCGGCCUGACAGGUCUGCUGUGAAAACUCGAGGCUCAACCUCGAGAUGUCGGCGGAAACCGUCUGGCUAGAGUCCGGAAGAGGAGAGUGGAAUUCCUGGUGUAGCGGUGAAAUGCGCAGAUAUCAGGAGGAACACCGGUGGCGAAGGCGGUUCUCUGGGCCUGUACUGACGCUGAGGAACGAAAGCGUGGGGAGCGAACAGG